RNAcentral lists this ribosomal RNA (856 nucleotides) under uncultured bacterium. Its description in RNAcentral is "bacterial SSU rRNA". It matches the Rfam family "Bacterial small subunit ribosomal RNA", at positions 649 to 1504 of the family's 1533-position model. The record is from RNAcentral.
CAGAAGAGGACAGUGGAACUCCAUGUGUAGCGGUGGAAUGCGUAGAUAUAUGGAAGAACACCAGUGGCGAAGGCGGCUGUCUAGUCUGUAACUGACGCUGAGGCUCGAAAGCAUGGGUAGCGAACAGGAUUAGAUACCCUGGUAGUCCAUGCCGUAAACGAUGAGUGCUAAGUGUUGGAGGGUUUCCGCCCUUCAGUGCUGCAGCUAACGCAUUAAGCACUCCGCCUGGGGAGUACGACCGCAAGGUUGAAACUCAAAGGAAUUGACGGGGGCCCGCACAAGCGGUGGAGCAUGUGGUUUAAUUCGAAGCUACGCGAAGAACCUUACCAGGUCUUGACAUACUAUGCAAAUCUAAGAGAUUAGACGUUCCCUUCGGGGACAUGGAUACAGGUGGUGCAUGGUUGUCGUCAGCUCGUGUCGUGAGAUGUUGGGUUAAGUCCCGCAACGAGCGCAACCCUUAUUAUCAGUUGCCAGCAUUAAGUUGGGCACUCUGGUGAGACUGCCGGUGACAAACCGGAGGAAGGUGGGGAUGACGUCAAAUCAUCAUGCCCCUUAUGACCUGGGCUACACACGUGCUACAAUGGAUGGUACAACGAGUUGCGAACUCGCGAGAGUAAGCUAAUCUCUUAAAGCCAUUCUCAGUUCGGAUUGUAGGCUGCAACUCGCCUACAUGAAGUCGGAAUCGCUAGUAAUCGCGGAUCAGCAUGCCGCGGUGAAUACGUUCCCGGGCCUUGUACACACCGCCCGUCGCACCAUGAGAGUUUGUAACACCCAAAGUCGGUGGGGUAACCUUUUAGGAACCAGCCGCCUAAGGUGGGACAGAUGAUUAGGGUGAAGUCGUAACAAGGUAGCCGUA